Thamnophis elegans (Western terrestrial garter snake) is the source of this 447-nucleotide long non-coding RNA. RefSeq lists it as uncharacterized. Lineage: Eukaryota; Metazoa; Chordata; Lepidosauria; Squamata; Natricidae. The record is from RefSeq and is a predicted model, not a curated record. The transcript has 3 exons.
ACCUUCUUCUUCAGUCUGGGAAACAUCUGUAGACUCGAGGAGGGAUCUGCACUUCCAGCAGAGGGACAGCUGCUCAUGGAUGCUUUCAUGGUGGGAAGGAGGUCUGGAAGGCACAAGGGAUCCCAGGAGCUUCUGGAUGGUUUUCGGCAUGCCCCACCUGUGCUCUGCAGUCCUCCUCUUCAGCCAAUCUUCACCUUCUUCUUCAGUCUGGGAAACAUCUGUAGACUCGAGGAGGGAUCUGCACUUCCAGCAGAGGGACAGCUGCUCAUGGAUGCUUUCAUGGUGGGAAGGAGGUCUGGAAGGCACAAGGGAUCCCAGGAGCUUCUGGAUGGUUUUCGGCAUGCCCCACCUGUGCUCUGCAGUCCUCCUCUUCAGCCAAUCUUCACCUUCUUCUUCAGUCUGGGAAACAUCUGUAGACUCGAGGAGGGAUCUGCACUUCCAGCAGAG